AGCUUCAACGUUUAAACACACACACGCCUUUGUCGCUGUAAAACUCUACGAAAUGAAAUUCAUCAUUGUAUUCGUUGCUCUCUUCGCCAUUGCUUUGGCCAACAAAGAUGCUGAAACUUUGCGUUACGAUAGCAAUGUUGAACCUGAAAACUACAACUAUGCUGUAGAAACCAGCGAUGGAAAGAGUGCCCAAGAAGAGGGUCAUCUUGAAAAUGCUGGCACCGAUGAUGAAGCCAUUUCCGUACGUGGUUCUUACUCUUACAUUGGAGAUGAUGGUCAAACUUAUCAAGUCAACUAUAUUGCCGAUAGAAACGGUUUCCAACCCCAAGGUGCUCAUCUUCCUGUUGCUUAAUUUCAGAUUUUUAUCAUUGAUCUAACGUCUAUCGCUCAGAACAAAAAUCCAAUCAAAAUGAAAUUCAUCUUUGUCUUCGUUGCCCUUUUCGCCAUUGCUUUGGCUGAAGAAACCGUUGUCUUGAAAUCCGAAUCUGAAGUUGGUCCCGAAUCCUUCCAAUAUGCUUAUGCUACCAGCGAUGGUGUUGAAGCUCAAGCUCAAGGUCAAUUGAAGAAUGUUGGUACUGAACAAGAAGCUCUUGGUGUUAAGGGCUCUUACUCCUUCGUUGCUGAUGAUGGUCAAACCUACACCGUCAACUAUGUUGCUGAUGAAAACGGUUUCCAACCCCAAGGUGCUCAUUUGCCCGUUGCCCCUGAAGCUUAAGUUGUGAUUGUUAUUUAUUAAUAAAUUUUUGUUUAUUUGAAAGAAAAAAA
Lucilia cuprina (Australian sheep blowfly) is the source of this 765-nucleotide RNA transcript. RefSeq lists it as uncharacterized. The transcript has 3 exons. NCBI's taxonomy places the organism in Eukaryota, Metazoa, Arthropoda, Insecta, Diptera, Calliphoridae. The record is from RefSeq and is a predicted model, not a curated record.